This 568-nucleotide long non-coding RNA is filed under the name Musa acuminata (dwarf banana). RNAcentral describes it as "long non-coding RNA (MACU_LNC004126)". The record is from RNAcentral. Lineage: Eukaryota; Viridiplantae; Streptophyta; Magnoliopsida; Zingiberales; Musaceae.
UUCUUCUUCUUCCAUUUGAGGUUGUGUGAAGAUUACUACUGCCCAUCAAGUUGUGAUCUGUUGCCUCUCUUGAUCUAAAUCUUCAUCUUGGGACACUGUAUCUUCUGUCACAUGGCACGCCUCCAUUAUGGUCCUUCCUGCACGAUGGCUUGAAUCCCAAAUUGCCAUCUCCUGAAAGCAAAGGCAAAAGCAACCAAAAGGGAGAAGGCAACUCCACCAACACAAGCAAGCAAGCAAACAAAAAGCAGCACCAUCUGUUUCUAUCAUGUGUACCUCAAGGAAGCAAUGGUGUGUCUCCCAAUCAAACAACAACUUCUCUCAAGUCAUAUGAUGCAUUGAACUGUCUCUCUUCUCCAAUGGAUCAACCUUUUCUGAGGCUACAUGAUGCACUUGAGCUGUCUAAGGUCAUGGAAGCAAGACUACAUGCCCAUCUAUUAUUGUUCAUGCAUGACUCCCUUGUUCUUGCUCCUCUUCUGCAGGUAUAUCUUUAGACUGUAUCAGAGGCCAACCUAUAUAAUGGCCUGUCCCAAUUGUGGUCCUAAAAUCCCUAUAGAUAUAUAGUUCAGCA